This 105-nucleotide ribosomal RNA is filed under the name Janthinobacterium lividum. RNAcentral's name for it is "partial 16S ribosomal RNA". It matches the Rfam family "Bacterial small subunit ribosomal RNA", at positions 1 to 104 of the family's 1533-position model. RNAcentral also lists the same sequence under 3 other names. Lineage: Bacteria; Pseudomonadati; Pseudomonadota; Betaproteobacteria; Burkholderiales; Oxalobacteraceae. The record is from RNAcentral.
AAACUGAAGAGUUUGAUCCUGGCUCAGAUUGAACGCUGGCGGCAUGCCUUACACAUGCAAGUCGAACGGCAGCACGGAGCUUGCUCUGGUGGCGAGUGGCGAACG